This 475-nucleotide ribosomal RNA is filed under the name uncultured bacterium. RNAcentral describes it as "bacterial SSU rRNA". It matches the Rfam family "Bacterial small subunit ribosomal RNA", at positions 335 to 799 of the family's 1533-position model. The record is from RNAcentral.
ACUCCUACGGGAGGCAGCAGUGGGGAAUAUUGCACAAUGGGGGAAACCUUGAUGCAGCCAUGCCGCGUGUGUGAAGAAGGCCUUCGGGUUGUAAAGCACUUUCAGUAGGGAGGAAGGUAGUGUAGUUAACACCUGCAUUAUUUGACGUUACCUACAGAAGAAGCACCGGCUAACUCCGUGCCAGCAGCCGCGGUAAUACGGAGGGUGCGAGCGUUAAUCGGAAUUACUGGGCGUAAAGCGCAUGCAGGUGGUUUGUUAAGUCAGAUGUGAAAGCCCGGGGCUCAACCUCGGAAUUGCAUUUGAAACUGGCAGACUAGAGUACUGUAGAGGGGGGUAGAAUUUCAGGUGUAGCGGUGAAAUGCGUAAGAGAUCUGAAGGAAUACCGGUGGCGAAGGCGGCCCCCUGGACAGAUACUGACACUCAGAUGCGAAAGCGUGGGGAGCAAAACAGGAUUAGAUACCCUGGUAGGAUAGCG